Molecule: long non-coding RNA, 2732 nt
Filed under: Canis lupus familiaris (dog)
Lineage: Eukaryota; Metazoa; Chordata; Mammalia; Carnivora; Canidae
Description: lncRNA (ENSCAFG00040012051.1)
Source: RNAcentral
GCCGGGCACGGAACACAAUGUGGCUCCUUGUUCCCCAGCCCGGCCGAGCCUCCUGGAAUUGGCCCAUUUCCUGCCUGGGCCGUGGGGCCUUUUCCAAGGACCCCCUCGUUUGUACAAGGCAGCUGCUAGAGCCUGUCUCCUGCCUGGCCUGCCCUCUGAGUGCUGGCACCCACCUGUGUGCCUGGGUCGGCCUCCACUCGGACAUCUCACAGACAUCUCAUGUACUCAGCCACCACGGCAGCUGGAACAGGAUUCCUGUCUGCCCCUCACCCUUUCCCACCCUGCUGCCUCUCCUCAGUCCUCACCAUGGGGGGGUGACAUCACAUCCAAUGGGGCUUUGUGUUUAGAAACUUGCACGCACCUUGGAUUCCCAGCGCCGGGUUCAUAGGCCAGUCCACGGAAUAUCCUGAAUCCAUUCUGUUCGUUGUAAUCACACAACCUUAUUGGAUGUGAUUCGUGUGCCCAGCUCAUCUCUCUGAAAGAACCAGGCAAUAAAGAAGCUUUAGAGACAGAUGGAUUUUUCUCUCUGACAUAUCGACUUCAGCGUGGUCCCAUGGGGACGCGAUCAGAUAGCAGAGUUUGGUCUGAAAUCGGGACCCUGUCUAUUCUCAAGAUGUGUGGCUCUGAGGCCGGUCCAGGUGCCCAGCCUUCCUCUCCCCUGGGGGCAGGGCCAGUCCUCCAAGCAGGGUCACCUCCUCUUUGAGCACAGGGAGAAGAAGGGGCAGGGGAGCUCCGUCCAGGAGGGAUCCAUCACUCUGGCAAUGUCCCUGCAAGGAAAUAAGGUUGGCUACAGAGAGGGUCCCCUAUAAGUCAGUGCCCCAGAGAGCUGGGAGCAGAGGCGAGCCAGCCUGAGGCCCCUCCACAGCUGGAGCUGUAAUGCUUGGACUGGCUGCCAGGGCCGGGCAGGAUAAGGUUCUGGGGAGGGGAAUCUAUGCUGUCCUGGCACAGCCUUUGCCUCCCCUCUGCAGCCCUGACACCUGGGCCUAUCAUCCACAGUCCUGGUCAGAGGCUCUCACCUCCACUCUGAAAAGUGGACCUCCUAUCACCCAGCCUCUGGCACAGGUGUGGAGCCCCUUGCCUGCCCCUGGCUUGGGCUGACCCUCACCAACUUGCCAUGCUCUUGCCAUCCCGUGAUGGGUGUGAGGGGGAUAGAAUGAUAGAGAGGGCCGGAUUGGGACUCAGGAUCACCCCCACCCUGCAUAAACCCAUCAGAUCCCACGGAUGAAUCACACUUCGUGCAGGGCCAGGUGGGUAAAGACACAAAGUCUCGGGAGCAUGCUGCUGGGCUAGUGAGAUAGGUCCUGGCCCACACAGCCUCUGGGGUGAACCCCAGCAGGAGACCCAAACCAGGAGCAGCUAGUUCUGUGAGAGUUGAAGAAUAAAAUUCAAAAGAGAAGGAAUGGCUCAUUAAUCACCUAAAAUCAGUGUAGUAUUAGAUUUCUUCACAGUGAAGAUGAUGUCAUGUGUGAAUUCUUAAAGGUAGAUAGGAGUUUCUCAGGCUAUUGGGUGAUAGUUGGGACAGGAAAAUGCAGGAAAAGAGAAGAGUAGGUGCAAAGACCUGGAGGCCUUUGAAAGAAUGUGGCCUAUUCUGGAAACAGUGAAAAGUUCAAUGUGUUAGUUACAGUGAUAGAAAGGCUGUGGCUUCAACAAGAUGGAAGCUUCUCUCCUCCACCCACCCCCUGCCCCCCCUUCUCAUGGAAAAGUUCAGAGGGAGGCAGGCAGGGCUGACAUAAUGGCUUAGCUCCAUGAAUUCCUCAGGGACCCAGACUCUUGCCAGCUUACCACACAUCCCUGGAAUGUGGGUUUUGACCUCUUGGCCCAAGAUGGCAGUUAGAGUCCCAGCCAUUGCACCCACAUUCCAGGCAUUGGCAUGGAGGAAGAGGUGAAGAGGAAGGAGGGGUGAGUAUACACGUCAGUGUACUGAAGGAAGGCUUUCAGAAGCUGACAGGUGACACUGUUUAUAACCUGUUGGCCAGAACUUGGUUUCUAACCACCCUAGCCACAAGGACAGCCAAGAGAUUAUUCUGGGUGGCCACAUGUCCUGCUAAAACCCAGGGGUUCAAAUGCCACAGAAAAAGGGGAGGAAGGAUAUCAAGGGACAACCAGAGGCCUCUGCCUCCUUCAGUGUGGCUGGAGCAGCUGUGGGGCGGGGGAAGUGGAGAGUCAGGGAAGGCUGAGGAGCAGACCCUUGCCCCCUGGGGAGAGGGACUGGCCACUAAUGUUAAGCAAGAUUGUGAACUGCUCUGACGUCUUCUGGGGGACAUUGGCGCCAGCAGUAGCCGUGUGUGGGGAUGGGCAAGGGUAUCCUGCUGUUGUCUGCUUGGGUAAUUUAUGAAGUUUCCUUUCAAUGGCUCAUAGUUUUUCAUAGAUGGAAGUAAAGCCUGCUUCUCUGGGAAUCACCCUUUCUACAAGCCUCUCCCUCUCAGAGAGGGUGGCCUGGAAGCACAGGGAGCUAGGGGUGAAGGGUCCAGCCUCCUGCUUUCCUGGGGCCUGUGCUGGCACCUGCUGGUGUCUGCUGGGCUCCAGGAUUCGGGCCUCAUGUGAGCCCCGUCGGCCCUCAGCGGGGGCGGCACCUUGCCCAUCACAGCUGGCCCGGAGCUGACCGCUGGCUUUUGGCCCGGGGACUCCCCACGAGGACCCACUUGGAGGGGCCUUGGAGAGCUCUAUGUCCAGGCUUCUCCUGCCCGACCAUGAUGGCCACUGUGUCUGCUUUGCUGUGAGUUGGCCCAAGG